GACGAACGCUGGCGGCGUGCUUAACACAUGCAAGUCGAACGGAAAGGCCCUGCUUUUGUGGGGUGCUCGAGUGGCGAACGGGUGAGUAACACGUGAGUAACCUGCCCUUGACUUUGGGAUAACUUCAGGAAACUGGGGCUAAUACCGGAUAGGAGCUCCUGCUGCAUGGUGGGGGUUGGAAAGUUUCGGCGGUUGGGGAUGGACUCGCGGCUUAUCAGCUUGUUGGUGGGGUAGUGGCUUACCAAGGCUUUGACGGGUAGCCGGCCUGAGAGGGUGACCGGCCACAUUGGGACUGAGAUACGGCCCAGACUCCUACGGGAGGCAGCAGUGGGGAAUAUGGCACAAUGGGCGGAAGCCUGAUGCAGCAACGCCGCGUGCGGGAUGACGGCCUUCGGGUUGUAAACCGCUUUCGCCUGUGACGAAGCGUGAGUGACGGUAAUGGAUAAAGAAGCACCGGCUAACUACGUG
RNAcentral lists this ribosomal RNA (468 nucleotides) under uncultured bacterium. RNAcentral describes it as "partial 16S ribosomal RNA". It matches the Rfam family "Bacterial small subunit ribosomal RNA", at positions 28 to 507 of the family's 1533-position model. The record is from RNAcentral.